GACGAACGCUGUCGGCGUGCUUAACACAUGCAAGUCGAACGGAAAGGCCCUGCUUUUGUGGGGUGCUCGAGUGGCGAACGGGUGAGUAACACGUGAGUAACCUGCCCUUGACUUUGGGAUAACUUCAGGAAACUGGGGCUAAUACCGGAUAGGAGCUCCUGCUGCAUGGUGGGGGUUGGAAAGUUUCGGCGGUUGGGGAUGGACUCGCGGCUUAUCAGCUUGUUGGUGGGGUAGUGGCUUACCAAGGCUUUGACGGGUAGCCGGCCUGAGAGGGUGACCGGCCACAUUGGGACUGAGAUACGGCCCAGACUCCUACGGGAGGCAGCAGUGGGGAAUAUUGCACAAUGGGCGGAAGCCUGAUGCAGCAACGCCGCGUGCGGGAUGACGGCCCUCGGGUUGUAAACCGCUUUCGCCUGUGACGAAGCGUGAGUGACGGUAAUGGGUAAAGAAGCACCGGCUAACUACGUGCCAGCAGCCGCGGUGAUACGUAGGGUGCGAGCGUUGUCCGGAUUUAUUGGGCGUAAAGGGCUCGUAGGUGGUUGAUCGCGUCGGAAGUGUAAUCUUGGGGCUUAACCCUGAGCGUGCUUUCGAUACGGGUUGACUUGAGGAAGGUAGGGGAGAAUGGAAUUCCUGGUGGAGCGGUGGAAUGCGCAGAUAUCAGGAGGAACACCAGUGGCGAAGGCGGUUCUCUGGGCCUUUCCUGACGCUGAGGAGCGAAAGCGUGGGGAGCGAACAGGCUUAGAUACCCUGGUAGUCCACGCUGUAAACGGUGGGUACUAGGUGUGGGGUCCAUUCCACGGGUUCCGUGCCGUAGCUAACGCUUUAAGUACCCCGCCUGGGGAGUACGGCCGCAAGGCUAAAACUCAAAGGAAUUGACGGGGCCCCGCACAAGCGGCGGAGCAUGCGGAUUAAUUCGAUGCAACGCGUAGAACCUUACCUGGGUUUGACAUGGAUCGGGAGUGCUCAGAGAUGGGUGUGCCUCUUUUGGGGUCGGUUCACAGGUGGUGCAUGGCUGUCGUCAGCUCGUGUCGUGGGAUGUUGGGUUAAGUCCCGCAACGAGCGCAACCCUUGUUCACUGUUGCCAGCACGUUAUGGUGGGGACUCAGUGGAGACCGCCGGGGUCAACUCGGAGGAAGGUGGGGAUGACGUCAAGUCAUCAUGCCCCUUAUGUCCAGGGCUUCACGCAUGCUACAAUGGCUGGUACAGAGAGUGGCGAGCCUGUGAGGGUGAGCGAAUCUCGGAAAGCCGGUCUCAGUUCGGAUUGGGGUCUGCAACUCGACCUCAUGAAGUCGGAGUCGCUAGUAAUCGCAGAUCAGCAACGCUGCGGUGAAUACGUUCCCGGG
RNAcentral lists this ribosomal RNA (1343 nucleotides) under uncultured bacterium. RNAcentral describes it as "16S ribosomal RNA". It matches the Rfam family "Bacterial small subunit ribosomal RNA", at positions 28 to 1378 of the family's 1533-position model. The record is from RNAcentral.